GAUGAACGCUGGCGGCGUGCCUAAUACAUGCAAGUCGAGCGAACAGAUGAGGAGCUUGCUCCUUUGACGUUAGCGGCGGACGGGUGAGUAACACGUGGAUAACCUACCUAUAAGACUGGGAUAACUUCGGGAAACCGGAGCUAAUACCGGAUAACAUGUUGAACCGCAUGGUUCAACAGUGAAAGACGGUCUUGCUGUCACUUAUAGAUGGAUCCGCGCCGCAUUAGCUAGUUGGUAAGGUAACGGCUUACCAAGGCAACGAUGCGUAGCCGACCUGAGAGGGUGAUCGGCCACACUGGAACUGAGACACGGUCCAGACUCCUACGGGAGGCAGCAGUAGGGAAUCUUCCGCAAUGGGCGAAAGCCUGACGGAGCAACGCCGCGUGAGUGAAGAAGGUCUUCGGAUCGUAAAACUCUGUUAUUAGGGAAGAACAAAUGUGUAAGUAACUAUGCACGUCUUGACGGUACCUAAUCAGAAAGCCACGGCUAACUACGUGCCAGCAGCCGCGGUAAUACGUAGGUGGCAAGCGUUAUCCGGAAUUAUUGGGCGUAAAGCGCGCGUAGGCGGUUUUUUAAGUCUGAUGUGAAAGCCCACGGCUCAACCGUGGAGGGUCAUUGGAAACUGGAAAACUUGAGUGCAGAAGAGGAAAGUGGAAUUCCAUGUGUAGCGGUGAAAUGCGCAGAGAUAUGGAGGAACACCAGUGGCGAAGGCGACUUUCUGGUCUGUAACUGACGCUGAUGUGCGAAAGCGUGGGGAUCAAACAGG
Molecule: ribosomal RNA, 766 nt
Filed under: Staphylococcus epidermidis
Lineage: Bacteria; Bacillati; Bacillota; Bacilli; Caryophanales; Staphylococcaceae
Description: bacterial SSU rRNA
Rfam family: Bacterial small subunit ribosomal RNA
Source: RNAcentral